GAUGAACGCUGGCGGCGUGCCUAAUACAUGCAAGUCGAGCGAACGGACGAGAGGCUUGCUUCUCUGAUGUUAGCGGCGGACGGGUGAGUAACACGGGUAUAACCUACCUAUAAGACUGGGAUAACUUCGGGAAACCGGAGCUAAUACCGGAUAAUAUUUUGAACCGCAUGGUUCAAAAAUGAAAGACGGUCUUGCUGUCACUUAUAGAUGGAUCCGCUCUUCAUUAGCUAGUUGGUAAGGUAACGGCUUACCAAGGCAACGAUGCAUAGCCGACCUGAGAGGGUGAUCGGCCCCACUGGAACUGAGACACGGUCCAGACUCCUACGGGAGGCAGCAGUAGGGAAUCUUCCGAAAUGGGCGAAAGCCUGAAGGAGCAACGCAGCGUGAGUGAUGAAGGUCUUCGGAUCGUAAAACUCUGUUAUUAGGGAAGAACAUAUGUGUAAGUAACUGUGCACAUCUUGACGGUACCUAAUCAGAAAGCCACGGCUAACUACGUG
This 497-nucleotide ribosomal RNA is filed under the name uncultured bacterium. RNAcentral describes it as "partial 16S ribosomal RNA". It matches the Rfam family "Bacterial small subunit ribosomal RNA", at positions 28 to 507 of the family's 1533-position model. The record is from RNAcentral.